GCCGCUUUAGCUCAGUUGGUAGAGCAGCUGUCUUGUAAACAGCAGGUCGUCGGUUCGAGUCCGACAAGCGGCUCCG
RNAcentral lists this transfer RNA (76 nucleotides) under Actinomyces naeslundii. RNAcentral describes it as "tRNA-Thr". It matches the Rfam family "tRNA". Rfam says of the family: Transfer RNA (tRNA) molecules are approximately 80 nucleotides in length. Their secondary structure includes four short double-helical elements and three loops (D, anti-codon, and T loops). Further hydrogen bonds mediate the characteristic L-shaped molecular structure. tRNAs have two regions of fundamental functional importance: the anti-codon, which is responsible for specific mRNA codon recognition, and the 3' end, to which the tRNAs corresponding amino acid is attached (by aminoacyl-tRNA synthetases). tRNAs cope with the degeneracy of the genetic code in two manners: having more than one tRNA (with a specific anti-codon) for a particular amino acid; and 'wobble' base-pairing, i.e. permitting non-standard base-pairing at the 3rd anti-codon position. RNAcentral also lists the same sequence under 1 other name. Lineage: Bacteria; Bacillati; Actinomycetota; Actinomycetes; Actinomycetales; Actinomycetaceae. The record is from RNAcentral.